UACGAAGGGGGCUAGCGUUGCUCGGAAUCACUGGGCGUAAAGCGCACGUAGGCGGCUAUUCAAGUCGGGGGUGAAAGCCCGGGGCUCAACCCCGGAAUUGCCCUCGAAACUAGAUAGCUAGAAUCUUGGAGAGGCGAGUGGAAUUCCGAGUGUAGAGGUGAAAUUCGUAGAUAUUCGGAAGAACACCAGUGGCGAAGGCGACUCGCUGGACAAGUAUUGACGCUGAGGUGCGAAAGCGUGGGGAGCAAACAGG
RNAcentral lists this ribosomal RNA (253 nucleotides) under uncultured bacterium. Its description in RNAcentral is "partial 16S ribosomal RNA". It matches the Rfam family "Bacterial small subunit ribosomal RNA", at positions 524 to 776 of the family's 1533-position model. The record is from RNAcentral.